Long non-coding RNA from Drosophila ananassae, 526 nucleotides. RefSeq lists it as uncharacterized. The transcript has 2 exons. The record is from RefSeq and is a predicted model, not a curated record. Lineage: Eukaryota; Metazoa; Arthropoda; Insecta; Diptera; Drosophilidae.
GUUGGCCAACUUGGAGUUCUUGGUCGGGUGGAUGGUUCGUUUGUUCAGCUGUUUUUAGCCUUACCGCUCGCGGGGAGAUUUAUUAUGUAAUGUGAGCUGUUCUGGCCGCGUUGGUCGCUUUUGAAGGGUUCGGGAACCCAAAAUGAGGUAUUAGAUAUAAUUGCAGUACUAUUCUAAUGGCUGGGAUUGAUGCUCCAAGCUGAUAGAGAACUCAUUUCGGCCAAAACUGUUCGUUUGGCCAAUAGAGCAUGGCGGAGAAGAGAGGAAUCCGCUGUUGCAAUGCUCUAAAAAACAUAUAUUUUUACUACUAUAGAUCCCUUCAGGAAAAUCCAAGGAAAAUUGUUUGCUUUUCUCUAAUGGCUAAAAUUGGAAGUUUUGAGGCAGUUUUCAACGAAAAUUUUAACUAUUUCCCAACCGAUUAAAAAACGCAAUACCAUUUAUGAAUCAGGGUUCUAAUCCCCUCCAAACUGCAUCAAAAUAUCGUAAAAGUCGCCAAAUAAAAUUUUUGACCCAUUUUUGGCCAAAA